Molecule: long non-coding RNA, 307 nt
Organism: Chiroxiphia lanceolata (lance-tailed manakin)
Lineage: Eukaryota; Metazoa; Chordata; Aves; Passeriformes; Pipridae
Exons: 3
Source: RefSeq, a predicted model, not a curated record
GUCCUACACAGUCUAAGGACUCGCCACCCCGAGCUGGAGACUCCCAGAAACUUGUCGCCUGUUUUCCGUUCUUUCCUGCAGUCUUGUCUGAAACGGAAUGUGAAGCGUCGAUGGACAGCCAGGAAGCUGCUCAAGCAUCCGUUUUUAAAAAAAUCCGAGUCUUGAUGAGAUACCUCCUCUCAUUGAUGCAGCCAGGAGACCCAGAACACCGGCACCAGAAUCUCUGCUGGCUCCCUCUGAUUCUGGACAAGAGGGGAAAGAGGAGCAAGUAGAGAAGGAAGUUGUCAAAGCAAAACCUGAAGGACUG